RNAcentral lists this ribosomal RNA (449 nucleotides) under uncultured bacterium. RNAcentral's name for it is "partial 16S ribosomal RNA". It matches the Rfam family "Bacterial small subunit ribosomal RNA", at positions 29 to 523 of the family's 1533-position model. The record is from RNAcentral.
AGCGAACGCUGGCGGCAGGCUUAACACGUGCAAGUCGAACGGGCACUUCGGUGCUAGUGGCAGACGGGUGAGUAACACGUGGGAACGUGCCUUUCGGUUCGGAAUAAUCCAGGGAAACUUGGACUAAUACCGGAUACGCCCUUCGGGGGAAAGAUUUAUCGCCGAAAGAUCGGCCCGCGUCUGAUUAGCUAGUUGGUGAGGUAAAGGCUCACCGAGGCGACGAUCAGUAGCUGGUCUGAGAGGAUGAUCAGCCACAUUGGGACUGAGACACGGCCCAAACUCCUACGGGAGGCAGCAGUGGGGAAUAUUGGACAAUGGGCGCAAGCCUGAUCCAGCCAUGCCGCGUGAGUGAUGAAGGCCUUAGGGUUGUAAAGCUCUUUUGUCCGGGAAGAUAAUGACUGUACCGGAAGAAUAAGCCCCGGCUAACUUCGUGCCAGCAGCCGCCGUAA